UUCACAGAUUGUUUUCACACUCGGCGCGAAGUCUUUGCAACAUGAAGUGGUUAACAGUUUUCCUCGUGCUUUUGGUCGUGGUAUCAAGUGCGCUAAUUGCAUCUGCAAAGCCGCAGCAGUUGCAUCGGAAAGUUGCCAUUGUCGUACGUUUGAGACCCUGCCAAGCAGGAUUUCGUCGGAUCGGUAACGGUCGUUGUAGAAAAAUCGUGUAGUCACGACGAUUGAACAGAGCGCCACGGGAGCGAGAAGAUAUACGUCGAGGACAGCAUCACGAACGCUCCGAAACCAACUUCGAUAGAUUCUUCGAGCUGCGUUAUUCAUUGGUUUCUUUUUUUUUUCCAUUUUUUGUUUCUUCAUUUACGAAGACUACAGAGUACGCGUUUCAAUGAAUCGGAAAACGGAAUGACGAUCGCAAUGAUACAACACUAUAAUGCCGUACGAAGUCGAAAUUGAAAAGCUUUCAGCGAAUUUCUUGGAUUUCGAUCUUUCGCAGUUGAUUAGAAUUUGGACUUUUGAGAAACAUUUUUGUGAUUGAGAAAAAUGGAUUAAAAA
Athalia rosae (coleseed sawfly) is the source of this 552-nucleotide long non-coding RNA. RefSeq lists it as uncharacterized. The record is from RefSeq and is a predicted model, not a curated record. Lineage: Eukaryota; Metazoa; Arthropoda; Insecta; Hymenoptera; Athaliidae. The transcript has 3 exons.